UUAUAUUACAUUAAAGGAACUUGCCUCCAUAUACUACAGUUAGACAAUGGAGAAAAACAUUAAGAAGAAUGUAAAUAUUUAUAGAUUGUUGAGAUGAAUUUUCAUAUUCUAAUAAUAUCAAAUUUAUAUUGAACUAAUCAUUAUAUCAAAAGUUAUGCAUAAAAUAAAUCUACGGGUCCAUGAAUUAGUGUUUUUGUUUUUUCAUAACUUAGGCCAUAUCAAUUCGCACAAAUUUCCAGAUUUGAUAUACAUAUAUUCCUGUAAUUAUAAACCAAAAAUCAAGGCCUAAUAGUGAACGAUAUAUCAUGUAGUAUUAAAGAGUGUUCUAGAUUCGAAAUCAUAUAUAACAUCAAAUAACAUGGCAUGUCUCAUGCAAAUACAUUCAAAAUAUCUAAUACUUUCUAUGUAUUUUCAUGUCUUUUACACACACUUAUUUUAGAUACAAUAAAUGUGUUUAUAUAGAAGCUAAUGGGAGCGAUAGAAGCCAACCAAAAGACUUAACAACUAUUAGAGUCCAAUUAAACUUACGAUAGUCAUAUAGAACUCUUUUCAAAAGAAGCUUCUAGAUUGUUUUUUAUGUUGAGCCGAUCCAACUCAUCAUAGAUUCUAAUUCCAACAUAUAUGCACUAUGUUUUGAAGUUAUGUCCAUUUCUUUUAUUGUAUAUUGAAUUUGACGUACUUCAUUAACUAAUUAUUAAAAUAAUGUGUACUUUACCUCAAUAUCACUUUACCUCAAUUAAACUCCAAAAGGACAUCAUUAUAUAACCUUAAAGUCCAAAAGAAUAUAUAAUGAUGUGGACAAAAUAGCUCCACUAAGCUCAUCAAAUCAUCAAUAGUGUGUUUACUUGUUGGAUUAGAGAAUCGAAAUACAUAAAAUAGAAAUGAUCAAUGAUAUUUACUUAUUAAAAUAGAAGAUGAAUAUGAAUGAUAUAUAUGAGACCUACAGGUUUUGGGGAUUAAGGAAUAGGAACUUGAUUUCGAUGGCGGAUUGGAAAUAAGUUCUCAUCCCUUGAACUUCCCAUUUAUUCUCGUAUUAGAGUGAAAAUCUCGAGAAGCAAGAAUUUUUUAUAUUGGGAGUAUAGAGUA
RNAcentral lists this long non-coding RNA (1086 nucleotides) under Citrus x clementina. RNAcentral describes it as "Citrus clementina (C. clementina) long non-coding RNA (CCLE_LNC003824)". The record is from RNAcentral. Lineage: Eukaryota; Viridiplantae; Streptophyta; Magnoliopsida; Sapindales; Rutaceae.